CCUACGGGAGGCAGCAGUGGGGAAUAUUGCACAAUGGGCGCAAGCCUGAUGCAGCAACGCCGCGUGAGGGACGACGGCCUUCGGGUUGUAAACCUCUUUUAGCAGGGAAGAAGCGAAAGUGACGGUACCUGCAGAAAAAAGCACCGGCUAACUACGUGCCAGCAGCCGGCGGUAAUACGUAGGGUGCAAGCGUUAUCCGGAAUUAUUGGGCGUAAAGAGCUCGUAGGCGGUUUGUCGCGUCUGCUGUGAAAACCUGGGGGGCUCAACCCCCAGCCUGCAGUGGGUACGGGCAGACUAGAGUGCGGUAGGGGAGAUUGGAAUUCCUGGUGUAGCGGUGGAAUGCGCAGAUAUCAGGAGGAACACCGAUGGCGAAGGCAGAUCUCUGGGCCGUAACUGACGCUGAGGAGCGAAAGGGUGGGGAAGCAAACAGGCUUAGAUACCCUGGUAGUCCACCCCGUAAACGUUGGGAACUAGUUGUGGGGUCCAUUCCGACGGAUUCCGUGACGCAGCUAACGCAUUAAGUUCCCGCCUGGGGAUCGGCCGCGAAGGCUAAAACGUCAAAUGAAUUGAACGGCUGNGAGUGCGAGCGCGACGAGGAGAGG
RNAcentral lists this ribosomal RNA (602 nucleotides) under uncultured bacterium. RNAcentral describes it as "bacterial SSU rRNA". It matches the Rfam family "Bacterial small subunit ribosomal RNA", at positions 338 to 944 of the family's 1533-position model. The record is from RNAcentral.